RNAcentral lists this long non-coding RNA (820 nucleotides) under Solanum tuberosum (potato). RNAcentral describes it as "long non-coding RNA (STUB_LNC011180)". Lineage: Eukaryota; Viridiplantae; Streptophyta; Magnoliopsida; Solanales; Solanaceae. The record is from RNAcentral.
GAUCCCCUUUUCCAUCUUCUUUCUAUUAGUUUAGCUUGAAUCAACAAAGCUCCACCCCAUAACACCUAGCCAUGUGUUUCUCGCAUCUAUAUAUCUGCAGUAUCAUCAAGUCACAUAUUUCACAGUAAGCCCAUCAAUAAAUCUAUAAUUGAGACACCAUACAUGAAGUAAGUUAAAUAUAAUUUGGGAAUUGAUAUAUUAUACUCACUUGGACAUGAACAAAGAGUUUCAUCAAAAGGUACACAAGAACAUAAACCCAGAAAACUCAACUUGUGUGUAUCCACCAUCACAUGAACUUUGAAUUCAUGUGAAGAUCCAUUAUAUAUUUGCUUCACAGAUUUCAUGCGAAGCAUCUUCAAUAAGUAAAUACUUAGAGACCAAAAAAUACAUGUCUCAUUCAUCAAUACAUAUAAAAAAAACUUCAUUUAAAAAAAAAAAAAAAGGCUCAAAUCCUUAUAGAUAAAGAUGUCUAAACCACUAACCUCUAAGAAAUAUAGAAUCGAAGGCACUAUUUUCAUAGAAAUUCAAAAUUUAACCACGACAUAUAAAGACAAUCAAUCUUUUUAUAAUACCAAAAAUAGAUGAUUUUUGGAUGGUGACUCGGAGACCCUUCAAGUCCUUUGUAGUUUUCCUUGCAAUGUCUUCACUGAUUUUGGAGCGAGAGAACUUGCUGCGUUGACUUCACCUCGAGUGAUCGAACGAAAAACUCAAUGACUCGAUAGGGAUUGAACUUUGAUGGUGUUCUAGCACAAUUAUGAAACAGAGAAGAGCAGAGCUAUUUUUGUGCAUGUGUAUCACUACUAUAUGCUUUUCGAAAUUG